RNAcentral lists this ribosomal RNA (440 nucleotides) under uncultured bacterium. Its description in RNAcentral is "partial 16S ribosomal RNA". It matches the Rfam family "Bacterial small subunit ribosomal RNA", at positions 338 to 795 of the family's 1533-position model. The record is from RNAcentral.
CCUACGGGAGGCAGCAGUGGGAGAUAUUGCACAAUGGGGGAAACCCUGAUGCAGCGACGCCGCGUGUGGGAAGACGGUCCUCUGGAUUGUCAACCACUGUCCCCAGGGACGAAGAUGCCGGUACCUGGGGCGGACGCUCCGGCUAACUACGUGCCAGCAGCCGCGGUAAUACGUAGGGAGCGAGCGUUGUCCGGAAUUACUGGGGGUAAAGGGAGCGUGGGCGGGACUGCAAGUUGGGUGUCAAAUCUACCGGCUCAACCGGUAGCCGCACUCAAAACUGCAGUUCUUGAGUGAAGUAGAGGCAGGCGGAAUGCCUAGUGUAGCGGUGAAAUGCGUAGAUAUUAGGAGGAACACCAGUGGUGAAGGCGGCCUGCUGGGCUUUUACUGACGCUGAGGCUCGAAAGUGUGGGGAGCAAACAGGAUUAGAUACCCGGGUAGUC